Molecule: long non-coding RNA, 3670 nt
Organism: Dendronephthya gigantea
Lineage: Eukaryota; Metazoa; Cnidaria; Anthozoa; Malacalcyonacea; Nephtheidae
Exons: 5
Source: RefSeq, a predicted model, not a curated record
AUAUAUGACCUGGCAAUUGACAGAAUCAGACAUUUCGUCUGAAAUCCCAUAAGGUAACUCGCAUCCUGGAAGGAAGAUAUCUCGCUUGAACUACUGCAAAGAUAUACGCAAAUCGGCCGAUCUGCUUGUAAAAGUUGACGCGACCAUCUGGUUAAAGGAACGCCGCAUCGCCAAGUAUAACUGGAUCUUACUUUUACAGGACAAGGACGAUUAAGGACGGCAUAAACAACGCGUACGGGUGGAUAUUGGUUGGAUGCCCACAUCAGGUUGCCGGCACUUGCAAACGAUCACAUAUUUCAAAGACCUGCUGCAUUGAACUUUACGACGACUAGCAUGCAGGAUAUCGAACAGCGAGAUCCAUUCCAGUAACGACACUUACUGUACAGUAAAUACACGCCAUUUAUCUUCGUGCGUCAUCGCUUCGACACCGGAUAUUAUUUUUAAAACCUCAAUUCUCCGCCGUUCUCAUAAACAAAGACGGUUGAAUCAGGGCUUGGAAGAUAUUGUUACAAAAACCCACCGUACACGCUGGUAAUCAGUUCUGUAUUCGAUUCGACCUCCCAGGAAAAAGGCCAGCAGUUUUAAGAGCAAUUUGACGUAGCUCCAAACCAUGUCUGCAAGAACUCUAAAGAGGCGUUUAUACGACUGGGUUGCAUCAUGGAGUAUAUCCUUUCGACGAAAAGAUUCAAAUUCGAGCGCUUCGUCGACGACUCACUCCAAUUGUAGUAACUUUAGUUCGGCUGAAAGUACAGUUUCCGUUUUAAAAAGUAGCACCACGAGAUUGUCCAGUUCGAACAUUAAAAAGGUGGUGCGGUUUGCGGAGGAGGACGGCAAGGUGCUUACACAAAUCUUGAACAAUAACGAGCCAAACAAAAACAUUUUAGGGUCUUUGGACGAGUCGCUGGAGGACGUUUACAUGAGAGACGGUGUUAUAAGAGGAUUUAUAACUGUGAAAAACUUAGAAGCGGGAAGACAAGUUUUAGUUCGCUACACCGAGGACAACUGGCUUGGGUUUAAACAAGUGACAUCAAAGCGUGUACAGAGAACGAUAGACUCAAAAGGUAGACAACAGCUGAGGGAGGUGAAGGAAAAAAACAGCAGAUUACCGAGACGAAGGAAACAGGUCGACCCCAGUUCCGAUUGCACGUACGAAAAGACAUAUUUCUUCAAAAUCGAAGUCGACGAAACGAAAUUGAAUGAUGUUGAACUAGUUAUAAUUUCGAGUUUGGACAAUGUGAUUGACACAAAUCAUCGACAGUGUUAUUCCUUCAAGUGUGUACGGCGAAGUUGGGAGGCAAACAGCACUGUGUGUUCGAGGUCAAGAGAUGUAAAUAGCAGUUCAAGGCAAUUAUAGACUGCAAGUGUUGACAAUUUGGAAUAUCCCUAAAUGCAAUAUGGCAGAUCAAACUGACGUGAAGAUUUAGCCUUUGAGAAUAUAUUCCUCUGGCGAAAACAUUGAAAUAAAGUUUGCAUGUGAGUAUAUAGAUUAUAGUAGAAACUUUAUAUCAUAACUGCAGUUUGUAGUGUCCGUCGUAACAACAUAAUCGUUUCCAUUUGUAUAAAAUAGUAUAAUAUAAAAUUUGCCAGAGAACAACUGUACAUACAUAUUAUAGGUAUGUUGCGAAUAUGUUUUGCGACUAAAUAUAUAUAUAUAUAUAUAUAUAUAUAUAUAUAUACAUAUAUAUAUAUAUAUAUAUAUAUAUAUAUAUAUAUAUAUAUAUAUUAGUUAAAUUCGUGGGAUUUUACUUCCAUGACCUUGAAUAUAUCAAGGUUGAUUAAAGCCUCUUAAAGGUGAGAUUAGUUCCGUUCUGCGCAACUGUUCUGCGCAUAACAAUGUUAAUUAAUGGCGACCGGCUGAACUAAAGUUUCCUCACAUGCACGACUCGAAUUUUUCAGAACAGAAGCUCUAGUUCAUAUUUACGAAGAUACAUAGCAUGUUAAACUUUCCGACAAGGCGUCACAAUUUGAAUAAUAUUGCAGUUCAGAGUGUAAACAAUGCAUUAGCCAUUACGGAUUUUUCAUCACCUUUAAAAGUAUCGGCUUUUAUUAAUAAACUGACAGUUUUAUUAUAGAGCAAGUACUUGAAUUCAACGUAAGGUUUUAGAUUCUCGCCUUUGCUAGUGAUGCAUUUGAAGGUAUAUAAUCGAUAAGGUGUAAAAAUUUGACACUACUCACUCAUUUUUCUGAAUCAGAACACGAAUUGCUGGCAGGUUUCCGCUGUUAUGCUUGAAAAUUUAACAAAAUAUCUCCACUUUACAUUUUGAAGUUUAUUCGGCUUUUAUUUGUUUAAAAAAUGCACAAAAUGUUACCCAUUAUUUCAGCAUAGCAUCUUGACCGCCAUUUUGUUUUGAAAUUUUAAAUGCCUAAUUUUAAAGGCGUUGCCGCUGAUUUAAAACGCGGUUUCGAUUAAGACGCUCGCUUUUGAUUGGUUGUUCAGAAGAGCAUCUCCUUUUUGAUUGGUCCUUCUACAAAGUUUUUAACGUAUCUUUCAAAUGUUUAAAAAAAUGUGAUAUAAAAAUAUUUUCAUAUGCAUUUAUACUACCAAAGGCACAUUUUAGCCUUUUGAAUGAUGGUUUUAAGGUAAAUUACAAUCCUAAUUAAUAUCGAUGAAAUAAAAAGUUCACCACGAAAGUUAAGAAUAACCUGAGAAUGCCGAAUUCAAUAGUUUUGUUAAUCAAAAUGUUAAAAAUAAUAAAUUAUCGAUCUUGAGUUAUGCUUAAUAGAUUUCCCUAGUUGGUUUUUUAAUUUAAAGAGUAGUAAUUCGUCUUAAAACCAACCAUUCAAAAAGCUGAACUUCACUUUGCAGACCUAAAAAUGUGAAUUCAUUCUUAGAUCAGCAAUCCAAAAGCGAGAUAAUCAAUUACUACAUGUUUGUAUAAAUCAUGUAGAUUUAGAAAUGGUAGGUUAUAACAACAUUAGGGCUGAACAACAAAUGAUGCAAAAUUGACAUCCAUUUGUCAUCAGCAAAAUAGGACUUACCUUGAAUGACCAAAAUAGUCACUUUUUAAACGCAUGGCAAUUGAAAAUUGUCACAAGUCGUAAGGUACUGUAUAACGCAAAUUCCAUUCACACAAUGGAUUUUAGGAUGUGGUUGUAUGUUAUAUAUUUUUAUAGUUAUUUGUUUUCGAUACUGUUAAAUUGUGUCAAGAUGGAUAAGCUAAGAUUUGAGGCUUCUACAAAAAGCUAUCCAGCGUUUACAUAGGACAAAAACUGGUUGACGAAGAGUACAAGUACAUUGGCGUGUUGUAUUAUUGUAAGACAUAGUAGAGUUUCUAAUUUAUUGCUAGUUUUUUUAAGUGUCGUCAGUUUAUCGUGAGAUAUCUCGAAUCGCAGCAAAAAGAAGAAAAAGGUUUUGUAAGGAAAUAAGCAUUCUUGUCACAAAAUGAAAUUCAAAUAUUCGAAUUCCUUAGCAAACGUCCUUUCGGAGAAACGUUUCAUUGUUUUCUUAGAAAUAUAGUCUUGUGUGAAACUGACGUACACAAAGGUGCAGUUGUUACGAGGUGUAGUGUAGACGCAUGUGAGUACUUAGUAUAUUUGCAAAGCAAACUUUAGUUAAAUAGACAACAAAUAGAUUCAGCUCAUUCUGACAACUCGCCAUAGCCAAAAUUUUAUAGUUUCAUCUUCAGUUAAAUAGAAAAUGUCACUUGUAUAUCUAAAUUAAUUGCACUAU